RNAcentral lists this ribosomal RNA (252 nucleotides) under uncultured bacterium. RNAcentral's name for it is "partial 16S ribosomal RNA". It matches the Rfam family "Bacterial small subunit ribosomal RNA", at positions 524 to 776 of the family's 1533-position model. The record is from RNAcentral.
UACGUAGGUCCCGAGCGUUGUCCGGAUUUAUUGGGCGUAAAGCGAGCGCAGGUGGUUUAUUAAGUCUGGUGUAAAAGGCAGAGGCUCAACCAUUGUAUGCAUUGGAAACUGGUAGACUUGAGUGCAGGAGAGGAGAGUGGAAUUCCAUGUGUAGCGGUGAAAUGCGUAGAUAUAUGGAGGAACACCGGUGGCGAAAGCGGCUCUCUGGCCUGUAACUGUCACUGAGGCUCGAAAGCGUGGGGAGCAAACAGG